Molecule: RNase P RNA, 339 nt
Filed under: Candidatus Beckwithbacteria bacterium
Lineage: Bacteria; Candidatus Beckwithiibacteriota
Description: RNase P RNA component class A
Rfam family: Bacterial RNase P class A
About the family: Ribonuclease P (RNase P) is a ubiquitous endoribonuclease, found in archaea, bacteria and eukarya as well as chloroplasts and mitochondria. Its best characterised activity is the generation of mature 5'-ends of tRNAs by cleaving the 5'-leader elements of precursor-tRNAs.
Source: RNAcentral
UCUUAAAGCAGAACAAUGGCUCCGAUUACCAGUUUUGGGAAAUCGGAGAGGAAAGUCCAAGCAGCUGGAAGCAAGGUGUCCAAUGUAAAUUGGAUGUCUUUUUUUAAAAGAUCAAGUUAGAGCAACAGUGACGAUUUUUUCCCCGCAUUUUGCGGGGUGAGAAAGUGAAACGUUGACUAAUAGUCAAGUUUUUUGAUCGUAAAGAUCAAAAAAAUGGCAAUCCUCCCUGCUGCAAUCUCCGACCGACUCGUUAUCAAGAUGCUUCCCUGAGAGUCGAAGCUAGAGAGCUUAGAGAAAUCAUUGUCAAAACAGAACUUGGCUUACUCGCUUUAAGACAAA